This 649-nucleotide ribosomal RNA is filed under the name uncultured Clostridium sp. RNAcentral describes it as "bacterial SSU rRNA". It matches the Rfam family "Bacterial small subunit ribosomal RNA", at positions 65 to 735 of the family's 1533-position model. Lineage: Bacteria; Bacillati; Bacillota; Clostridia; Eubacteriales; Clostridiaceae. The record is from RNAcentral.
AGCUUCGGUAGACUUAAGAGAUGGAGAGCAGCGGACGGGUGAGUAACGCGUGGGAAACCUGCCCUUGACAGGAGGAUAGCCGAGAGAAAUUUCGAUUAAUACUUCAUAAAGCAGAGCAUUCGCAUGGAUGAACUGCCAAAGAAUUAUCGGUCAAGGAUGGUCCCGCGUCUGAUUAGCUGGUUGGUAAGGUAGCGGCUUACCAAGGCGACGAUCAGUAGCCGGCCUGAGAGGGUGAACGGCCACAUUGGAACUGAGACACGGUCCAGACUCCUACGGGAGGCAGCAGUGGGGAAUAUUGCACAAUGGGCGAAAGCCUGAUGCAGCAACGCCGCGUGAAGGAAGAAGGCUUUCGAGUCGUAAACUUCUGUCCAAAGGGAAGAAUAAUGACGGUACCUUUGAAGAAAGCCCCGGCUAACUACGUGCCAGCAGCCGCGGUAAUACGUAGGGGGCGAGCGUUAUCCGGAAUUACUGGGCGUAAAGAGUAUGUAGGUGGUUAAGUAAGCGUAGGGUUUAAGGCGACAGCCCAACUGUCGUAUGCCCCGCGAACUGUUUAACUUGAGUACAGGAGGGGAAGGCGGAAUUCCUAGUGUAGCGGUGAAAUGCGUAGAUAUUAGGAGGAACACCAGUGGCGAAGGCGGCCUUCUGGACU